UGGGGAAUUUUGGACAAUGGGCGAAAGCCUGAUCCAGCAAUGCCGCGUGUGUGAAGAAGGCCUUCGGGUUGUAAAGCACUUUUGUCCGGAAAGAAAUCCUUGGCUCUAAUACAGUCGGGGGAUGACGGUACCGGAAGAAUAAGCACCGGCUAACUACGUGCCAGCAGCCGCGGUAAUACGUAGGGUGCAAGCGUUAAUCGGAAUUACUGGGCGUAAAGCGUGCGCAGGCGGUUUGCUAAGACCGAUGUGAAAUCCCCGGGCUCAACCUGGGAACUGCAUUGGCGACUGGCAGGCUAGAGUAUGGCAGAGGGGGGUAGAAUUCCACGUGUAGCAGUGAAAUGCGUAGAGAUGUGGAGGAAUACCGAUGGCGAAGGCAGCCCCCUGGGCCAAUACUGACGCUCAUGCACGAAAGCGUGGGGGAGCAAACAGGAUUAGAUACCCUGGUAGUCCACGCCCUAAACGAUGUCAACUAGUUGUUGGGGAUUCAUUUCCUUAGUAACGUAGCUAACGCGUGAAGUUGACCGCCUGGGGAGUACGGUCGCAAGAUUAAACUUAAUGAAUUGACGGGGUCAUAGCUGUUUCCU
Molecule: ribosomal RNA, 584 nt
Filed under: uncultured bacterium
Lineage: Bacteria
Description: partial 16S ribosomal RNA
Rfam family: Bacterial small subunit ribosomal RNA
Source: RNAcentral